AUGGAUCAAAUAAAGGAGUUGUAUGAGGGUGACGAAGACUUUGGCCAUGUUUGGGUAAAGCACAUAAGGGGCCAACCAUUAGGUGAUGACUAUUUGAUCCAAGAUGGAUAUCUCUUCAAAAAUGACCGUUUGUGCAUUCCAAGAAGUUCUCUACGUGACAAGCUGGUUAGAGAGCUCCAUUCAAGUGAUCUUAGUGUCCAUGUUGGACGGGACAAGACUAUCGCUAACCUAGAAGCUUGCUACUUUUGGCCACAACUUAAGAGAGAUGCUGGAAAGUUCGUUCAACGGUGCCUCGUAUGUCAGACCUACAAAGGCCAAGUCCAGAACACAGGGUUAUACAUGCCUUUGCCUAUUCAUGUUGCUCCAUGGGAGGACAUUUCUAUGGACUUCGUCUUGGGCUUGCCAAGAACAAGACGAGGAAGUGAUGUUGUAUUAGUGGUCGUGGAUAGAUUCUUUAAGAUGGCUCAUUUCAUCCCAUGCCGCAAGACAACGGAUGCUCAUCAUGUGGCAAACCUAUUCUUUCGAGAAGUAGCCAGACUUCAUGGAUUUCCAAGGUCCAUUGUCUCAGACCGUGAUAGCAAGUUUCUUGCUGCAUUUUGGCUCACUUUGUGGAAGCAAUUCAACACUGAAUUGAAAUUUUCUAGCACUGCUCAUCCACAAAUAGAUGGACAAACGGAAGUGGUGAACAAGUUUUUGGAUAAUCGGAUCCGUUGUAUUUGUGGAGAAAGAAAGGGGAAAUGGGAUUUGGCUUUAUCUCUUGCAGAGUUCUCCUACAAUAACUCCAAGCAUAGAUCCACAGGAAGGAGCCCAUUUUUCAUUGUCUACACUAAAGUUCCAACACAUGUGGUGGACCUGGUGAAGCUGUCAUCAAGGGGAAACUCAAAAUCAGCAUUGUCCUUUGCUGAUAAUUACACCGAGUUAUUUGAAGAGAUUCGCGGCGCUUUGGAAGCACAAAAUCAGAAAUAUAAACCACUUGCUGAUUGCAAAAAGAGGCCAAAAUCAUUCCAAGUCGGUGAUAAGGUGAUGGUCUACUUCCGAAAAGAGAGGCUGUCUUUAGGUGUUAAAGGGAAACUUAGGCAGCGAAGGUAUGGGCCCUUCUCUAUCGUGAGGAAGAUAAAUGAUAAUGCUUAUGUGAUAGAUCUUCCAAGUGACAUGAGUAUCUCCAACCCUUUCAAUGUUACAGACUUGACUCUCUACCAUCCAGAAGAAGUGCUCUAUGAAGAUAACUCGAGGGCGAGUUCCAAAAAACCAGGGGAGAAUGAUGAGGAAUACUAG
RNAcentral lists this ribosomal RNA (1275 nucleotides) under Triticum aestivum (bread wheat). RNAcentral's name for it is "partial small subunit ribosomal RNA". Lineage: Eukaryota; Viridiplantae; Streptophyta; Magnoliopsida; Poales; Poaceae. The record is from RNAcentral.